This 154-nucleotide ribosomal RNA is filed under the name Rhodosporidiobolus nylandii. Its description in RNAcentral is "5.8S ribosomal RNA". It matches the Rfam family "5.8S ribosomal RNA". Rfam says of the family: 5.8S ribosomal RNA (5.8S rRNA) is a component of the large subunit of the eukaryotic ribosome. The record is from RNAcentral. Lineage: Eukaryota; Fungi; Basidiomycota; Microbotryomycetes; Sporidiobolales; Sporidiobolaceae.
AACUUUCAACAACGGAUCUCUUGGCUCUCGCAUCGAUGAAGAACGCAGCGAAAUGUGAUAAGUAAUGUGAAUUGCAGAAUUCAGUGAAUCAUCGAAUCUUUGAACGCAUCUUGCACUCCUUGGUAUUCCGAGGAGUAUGUCUGUUUGAGUGUCA